UGGGUUUAGAUACACUCUGAUGG
RNAcentral lists this non-coding RNA (23 nucleotides) under Arabidopsis thaliana (thale cress). The record is from RNAcentral. Lineage: Eukaryota; Viridiplantae; Streptophyta; Magnoliopsida; Brassicales; Brassicaceae.